RNAcentral lists this ribosomal RNA (253 nucleotides) under uncultured bacterium. RNAcentral describes it as "partial 16S ribosomal RNA". It matches the Rfam family "Bacterial small subunit ribosomal RNA", at positions 524 to 776 of the family's 1533-position model. The record is from RNAcentral.
UACGUAGGGGGCAAGCGUUUUCCGGAUUUAUUGGGCGUAAAGCGCUCGCAGGUGGUUCGAUACGUCGUGCGUGAAAGACCCCGGCUCAACUGGGGAGGGUCGUGCGAUACGGUCGGACUGGAGGCCAGUAGGGGGAUGCGGAAUUCCGGGUGUAGUGGUGGAAUGCGUAGAGAUCCGGAGGAACACCAGCGGCGAAGGCGGCAUCCUGGACUGGUCCUGACACUCAUGAGCGAAAGCGUGGGGAGCGAUCCGG